AAGAAAAUUAAUUAAAAAAAUACUAAAAUAGUAAAUAAUAAUUUAUUGAAACUUAAAUAAUUUGGCGGUAUUUUAGUUCAUUUAGAGGAAUCUGUCUAAUAAUUGAUAAUCCACGAAUAAUUAUACUUAAUUUAAAAUUUUAUAUAUCGUUGUUAAAAAAAUAUUUUUAAAAAAAAAUAAUAUUUAAAAAUUAUAAUUAAAAAAUUAAUUCAGAUCAAGAUGUAGAUUAUAAUUAAGAAUAUGAUGGAUUACAAUAAUAAUAAUUAAAUGAAUUUUUAUAUUGAAAUAAUAAAUUGAAGGUGGAUUUAAAUGUAAUUUUAUUUAAUUUAAUAAAAUGAUUAUAAAUUAAAAUAUGUACAUAUUGCCCGUCACUUUCAUUUAAAAAUUGAAAUAAGUCGUAACAAAGUAGAGGUACUGGAAAGUGUUUCUAGAAAUA
Molecule: ribosomal RNA, 436 nt
Filed under: Colias meadii (Mead's sulphur)
Lineage: Eukaryota; Metazoa; Arthropoda; Insecta; Lepidoptera; Pieridae
Description: partial 12S ribosomal RNA
Source: RNAcentral